RNAcentral lists this ribosomal RNA (433 nucleotides) under uncultured bacterium. Its description in RNAcentral is "partial 16S ribosomal RNA". It matches the Rfam family "Bacterial small subunit ribosomal RNA", at positions 29 to 507 of the family's 1533-position model. The record is from RNAcentral.
AGCGAACGCUGGCGGCAGGCCUAACACAUGCAAGUCGAACGGAUCCUUCGGGAUUAGUGGCGGACGGGUGAGUAACACGUGGGAACGUGCCCAUGGGUUCGGAACAACUCAGGGAAACGUGAGCUAAUACCGGAUGGGCCCUUCGGGGGAAAGAUUUAUCGCCAUUGGAGCGGCCGGCGUCUGAUUAGCUAGUUGGUGAGGUAACGGCCGACCAAGGCGACGAUCAGUAGCUGGUCUGAGAGGAUGAUCAGCCACACUGGGACUGAGACACGGCCCAGACUCCUGCGGGAGGCAGCAGUGGGGAAUCUUGCGCAAUGGGCGAAAGCCUGACGCAGCCAUGCCGCGUGAAUGAUGAAGGUCUUAGGAUUGUAAAAUUCUUUCAGCGGGGACGAUAAUGACGGUACCCGCAGAAGAAGCUCCGGCUAACUUCGUG